CCUACGGGAGGCAGCAGUGAGGAAUAUUGGUCAAUGGACGAGAGUCUGAACCAGCCAAGUAGCGUGAAGGAUGACUGCCCUAUGGGUUGUAAACUUCUUUUAUAUGGGAAUAAAACAGGGUAUGCAUACCCUCUUGUAUGUACCAUAUGAAUAAGGAUCGGCUAACUCCGUGCCAGCAGCCGCGGUAAUACGGAGGAUCCGAGCGUUAUCCGGAUUUAUUGGGUUUAAAGGGAGCGUAGGUGGAUUGUUAAGUCAGUUGUGAAAGUUUGCGGCUCAACCGUAAAAUUGCAGUUGAAACUGGCAGUCUUGAGUACAGUAGAGGUGGGCGGAAUGCGUGGUGUAGCGGUGAAAUGCUUAGAUAUCGCGAAGAACUCCGAUUGCGAAGGCAGCUUACUGGACUGCAACUGACACUGAUGCUCGAAAGUGUGGGUAUCAAACAGGAUUAGAUACCCCAGUAGUC
RNAcentral lists this ribosomal RNA (460 nucleotides) under uncultured bacterium. RNAcentral's name for it is "partial 16S ribosomal RNA". It matches the Rfam family "Bacterial small subunit ribosomal RNA", at positions 338 to 795 of the family's 1533-position model. The record is from RNAcentral.